AAUUUAAAGUACUUUGCCACGAGUCCUUUACAUCUGCCACUCAACCUUUAACCCCACUAUCUCUAUGCAACUGACGAGCACAAAAAGAAAACCUCAGAAUUUUCAGAACCCCUGUUUGAUUUGAUCAAUCUUCUCAAAAUUAAUUCUUCACAAUCACAAUCUCAAUGGAUUGAUCACAAACUGAUUAAUUUUGGUAUCUAUUUAUUCUCAUUGGAUAAUUAAAAAAACAAUCACCGGAAACAGCCCAUGUUUGAUUUGAUCUCUCCUCUGAAAACUGAUUCUUCGUAAUCACAAUCCCAAAUGAUUCAGGUUUUUUCUAUUUAAGUGGUGCUUAAAAUUAUGAUGGACAAGAGUACGUUUGUUCAAUAGGUAAGAUUAAUUGCUUAAAAAUCAUGAUUCAAACUUUGAGUGUGUUCGCAGGUGCAUAGCGUAAUUCAUGAAUAUUCGUCGAGAACCUUACUUUUUGAGUAUUUGUUGAAGCAUACUGCAAUCAUCAAGGUCAGUGAACGAUGGAGAGAAGAUGGUAGGUGCUGAAAUCAUGAAAAACUAAUAGCAAAACAGCCGUCGAGAGUUUGUUCGUUAAAGAUAGUUGUUAGUGCCUACAUUCUUGUUCAGUUUCUUUAUAGACGGUGGACUAACCAAUGACUUACCUCAAGCAACCCAAAUAGUGUUUAGAGAUUGUACUUGAACUCCAAAAUAUCACUCAUGUCGAUUGCAACAUAGAAUGAAACUUCAUCAUCACCCUAUAACUAAUGCAUGUCCGAGUACUAUUUUGCACCUUCCAUAAAUUCAGGAGCCUCUGCUAAGAUUUUUUGCUGUCACAGUUUUCUCCAUUUUCUCUUCCGAGGUUUUUUCUUGCAGCCUCACUUGGUAACAUUUCCCAUUCAGGUAUGCCUCUUUAUCUGUACAUAGCCAUUAAAAGAUUAGUUUUUAUUUAUUAUUCGCAAACCAUAUAAUUAAACUGUUAACAUAGCACGUGAUUGUGAUGUGCAUUCCCCGGUCCAUUUAGAAUGCCAGUUUUUUGGUGUUAGUAAGUGGGCAAUGCACAUUUUGUUUGAGUUGCUUUUCCUUUUUGCUUCAUACGUUUGAAAGUUCCACUUAUGGUGCACAUCUAAUUAUUCCUGGAUGGAUUCAACCAGAAAUCUCACGCCUAUCUUUUAGAUUAUAUCAGUAAAACGUUUAGUGUGAACUUGAGAGUUUCUCUUUAAGUAGCUGUUAGUAUAAAUUUUGAAUGAGUAAGCAGAGACCAUAAACUGCUCCUGCACCAGAACUUACUUUUACAUACCGUGACGAGAAUAUCAAGACCAUGGGCUCAUCAAAUUUCAUGGGUGUGACAACAAAGGGGUUAAUUAGCUUUGGUUAAUUCAUGGUUUUUCCCUAAACUUGCAAGGUGUGUGGAUGUGAAAUCCGUCUUUACAGGAUAUGAUCACUUAAAUAACUGGUAGACAUUUUUGUUGGGUUUCCUUGCAUAGGGAUCUUAGAAAAAAUAUUAUGUUUUAGCAAUGGGUUGUACCUAAUCUAAUUUUUGAUUAUUAACUUUUUCUAAAACACCAAAGAAUGGAUGUGACCAUAAUGGGAACGUAGCCAGUUUUACCUGCCAUAACGGGGUGAAGCAUCUAGAGUCAUGGUUGUGGCUCCUCGGAUAUCAUUUGUGACUACCCGUAUAUUAUAUAUAAAUUGGACUUCGGUAUGUUCUUUUCCUUUCCUCUUUAUACGUUAAUUUUAACGUGUCGUAAACUAUUUUUGUAUUUUUAAACAGGUCUUGAAUAUAAACUGGAAUAUCUGAGUCGUCACCUUCUGGAAAAUAGGUCACUUUGAGAGCUCAAGUUUCACUUAUUUGAGAACCAGAGCUGCAAACGAAUGAAAGACAGGUUGAAUAUUUCGAUGGGUGUGGCACAACAUCUCAUAUGAGCUGUUUGGGGUGAUCUCAGUCGUCAUCCAUCUCUAGGACAAUUGUUCGUUGUCGUUGUAGGAAUUUUUCUAGAAAUGCUCUUGGAAAUCAAUCAUUUCCCUCAUUACAAAGGAUUACUGAUGUAUAUGUAUGUUGGAUGCUACCACCAUUCCUCUUACCUACUUAUGGUGGAAUUUUAUUAAGGACAAUAGCCAGUUUAAGACUUCAAACUUCAUGAAGGUAAAGGAAAAAAGCUGAAGUGAUGCACACCGGAAAUCUUCCCAGUUUAGGAAAACUGAAAUGAUCAGAAAAAGUCAUGAGAACUUUCACUCAAAUGUUUUUUUUUUUUGUUGGUGAGAACCUCUGAAAAUAUUACUUUCAAACAGUGCAAGAAGAAACUGAAAAUGUUGGAAGUGUUAUACGCAGUUUGAGCUACAGCUGAAACAAGGUUCAACUGCGAUGCAAGAACCACUCAGAAUGGAGAGAUAAUGUGCCUGAUAUCAGCCCUAUCUUGGCAAGACAGAAAGGGACAAUCAGUUGUAGAGUGGAGAUUGAAGACAAGAAUGUAAUUAAACAGUGCAGGAAGAAACUAAAAUUGCUGGAAGAAAACUCUGACACUAAUCUUCUUGACAUAUCUAAAACCUUUUUUUUCCUGACUUAGGUACUUUGAAGUGUAAUUUUUCACGAGGAUGUCACAAGUGAGCAUUAGCUUUAUGUCUGAAAACUCUAUGUUUGUAAACUUUAACACUUGGUGGAUCUCACUCUCCAUUAGCUAAUAGAUAUUGGCAAUUCUGAUAGUUAAGAGAGCCUAACUAAUUUGUUAU
Papaver somniferum (opium poppy) is the source of this 2715-nucleotide long non-coding RNA. RefSeq lists it as uncharacterized. Lineage: Eukaryota; Viridiplantae; Streptophyta; Magnoliopsida; Ranunculales; Papaveraceae. The record is from RefSeq and is a predicted model, not a curated record. The transcript is spliced from 5 exons.